Molecule: ribosomal RNA, 775 nt
Filed under: uncultured Neocallimastigales
Lineage: Eukaryota; Fungi; Neocallimastigomycota; Neocallimastigomycetes; Neocallimastigales
Description: partial large subunit ribosomal RNA
Rfam family: Eukaryotic large subunit ribosomal RNA
Source: RNAcentral
UAUCUCUGUAGAGUCUGCAUAUCAAUAAGCGGAGGAAAAGAAACUAACUAGGAUUCCCUCAGUAACGGCGAGUGAGGCGGGAAGAGCUCAAAUUUGAAAUCUUCAAGGUUCUACCUUGACGAAGUUGUAGUUUAAAGAAGUGUUUUCUGUUGGAGUUUUGGUAAAAGUUCUUUGGAAUAGGACAUCAUAGAGGGUGAGAAUCCCGUAUUUGACCAUUAUUUCCAGCUUUGUGAUACACUUUCAAAGAGUCGGAUUGUUUGGGAAUGCAGUCCAAAAUGGGUGGUAAAUUUCAUCUAAAGCUAAAUAUCGGCGAGAGACCGAUAGCGAACAAGUACCGUGAGGGAAAGAUGAAAAGAACUUUGAAAAGAGAGUUAAACAGUACGUGAAAUUGUCAAAAGGGAAGCGUUUGACACCAGUGUUGUUUUUCUGAAAAUCAAUUAAAGAACUGUUUAUGCUAAGCUGUUUAGACUUUAUCAGCUAUCUGUUUAGUUUUGAGCUUUUCUUUAAUGCACUUUUCAGUUAACAAGUCAACAUCAAUUUCUUUCGCUGUAAAAAAGCUUGAGGAAGGUGGCUUGAGAUUCGUCUCAAGUGUUUAUAGCCUCUUGCCUAUGCAGUCGGAGAGAUUGAGGUCUGCAGCGUAGAUCCUUCGGGGCUAAAUGCAUUUGUGCUAAGUUAUAGCAUUUUAUAGACAACUUGUUGACUAUGAUUUGUCUUGUAGCUUACUCGCUUAUGUUAUUUUACCUACGCUUAGGAUGUUGACGAUCAGCUGAGCGCG